Artibeus jamaicensis (Jamaican fruit-eating bat) is the source of this 3156-nucleotide long non-coding RNA. RefSeq lists it as uncharacterized. NCBI's taxonomy places the organism in Eukaryota, Metazoa, Chordata, Mammalia, Chiroptera, Phyllostomidae. The record is from RefSeq and is a predicted model, not a curated record. The transcript has 3 exons.
AGAGGAGGUGCCGCCGGCGUGUUUCUCUGUGAUCCGUUUGAGAAGUGGAAGGUCAGGGGGCAUGUUCUUGCGCUGAACCUUUUGCUGUGAUCCCCUCCACCCUGCCUGCCCUUGAGCUGGAGCUCUGUGCAGAACAAUCUGUGUGUCUUCUCACUGGGAGAUGCUGGACAGCUGGUCAACCUCUUCCCGUUCAAUUUUCUCCCAUUGGAAAGGGCACGCAGGAAAUGAAAAGUGACAACAGUUUGGGCAAAGAUUUGACCAAAGCUCUCCAGAGGAGGCUAUCUGAGUGACCAGAAAGGGUGUGCAAAGGUGCUUGGCAUUACUGGUCACGAGGGAAAUGCAAUUAAAGCCACCACGAGAAGACUCCCACCCACCGAUGAGAGCCCCCGUUAAGAAGACUGACGAUGACCAGGGGUCACUGAGGCUGAGGAGCAGUGGAAAUGCUCCUCUUUGGGGCGAGAGUGAAAAUGGCUCCAUCCUUGUGGGGAAAGAAGUCUGAUGGUUUCCUAGUAAACUGCCCUUCCGUCAUCGGGGUGACCCGACCCCCGAAACCCUUAACUAUUUACUCAAGAAACAUAAAAACACAUGUCCCCAGGAAGGCCAGGACAAAAGGACUCACUCACAGGAGCUUUACUCAGGACAACUCACCAGGAAAAAUGAGCGGACAGACCGUGGCAGGUAGGGGGGUGCCACUCGGUGAUGCGAAGAGACAAGCUACCGAAAUAACGUGGCUGAGUCCCAGAAACGCGAGUGCACACAGUGUCGGUCCUUCACAGGGAGUUCUGGAGUCCGAGAAGCCAACCUGUGAUGGAAAGAGCAAUUUCCUGCCCUCCGCUGGUGCUCCGUCCGGCGCCGGAGCCUUCCCUGGCGGGCAUGCCCUGUGGCUCCUCGCAUUUGUGCGUUACCCGCAGCGAGGCUAGGGGAGUUUUCCUCUAACUCACGCACCGGGACACAUCUCUACCUUUGUCACUGGACACUGAAGAAGUCCCAGUUCACCUUGGAGUGGCAUGGCAUCGCGCUGAGCACGUUUCAUUGGUCCAGCUAUUCACCCCCGAUGCCAAAUCUCACCGGCACGAUGUUCUGUUUGGACGCUGCGCCAGUUUGCUUGGACUGUCCUAACCAAAUCCCUCAGAAUGAAGGGCUCAGACCGCAGAAGUGUGCUUUCUCAUGGUUCUGGUGGCGGGGAGUCCACGGUCAAGGUGCCGGCAAGUUCGGUUUCUGCUGAGGCCUCUCCCCUUGACCUGCACACGGCCACCCUCUUCUCGGGGUCGUCCCUCUGGGCUUGCAUCCCUGGCUCUCUCUGCGUGUCCUCAUCUCUUCUUCUUGUAAGGACACUGUCAGAUUGAACUAGCCCCCACCCUAAUGGCCCGAUUUUAACGGAAUUGUCACUUGGAGGGACCUAGGCCCCAAACACAGUCACUAAGGGGCAGGGCUCCAAUGUGUGAAUUUCAGAGGGAACGUCGACAUAAUCUUGUGAAUUCAACCUUGUGAGCUCCUGGCUGCUCAGGCUGGCUCUCCACACAGUCGGCAGAGCAAGCGCUGACACAGGAAGGUGUGGUCCUGUCCCAAGGUCAAGACCCACUUCAGCCUUCAAUGGCAACCAGGAUCCAAUCCAAAAUGUAACUCACCUUUCCAGCGUCCCUGUGCAUCCUGCCUACCUCAUUUCCUAGCUGUCCCCUUGCUGUCUUUGUCCGGCCACACACAGGCUACCUCUCUUUCCCGCUAGCCUCUCCUUUCCCCGGGACCUUUGCUUGUGCCGCCUCAUCGCCUGGACUCCCUCUGCUGGUUCUGCUCAGCAUGAGGGUCUCUUCCUGUGGGAUGAUGGCCCCUGACCAUUCCCCAUGGCAGACCCAGCGAGGAGCCCCAGGCGUGUACUUUCACUCUGUAUUGCGGUUCUUCUUGUGCUGCUUUUCACGGCUGCAAUUCGCUGUGCGGUUCGCUGAGAGCCCACCUUCCCCUCCUGUUCUGCAGACAGCAUGAAAGCAGAAAAGAUGUCCCACACGUUUGUCCUCAGAGCCUCAACCGCCACCCGCUGCCUUGCUCACACUAAGUUCCCAAUAAACUUUUGCUGAAUGGAUGUAUGAAGCCAUGGGAACCGUUACAUCAACUGACCCCUAGCUGUUUGCCACAGUUGCUCGAUUAUUCAUUCCACUCACACUCUGAUCAUUGUAUUCCCGACUGGCAGUUUCAUCAGUGGGGUGACAGGCAAGGAGGAAAGAGCCCACAGAAUUGUUUUUGGAGAUCUGUGGGCGAGGCUGGAGGAGGGCAGGAGCGGCUGAGAACGAGGUUGGCCAUUGGGCCCCGUGCACUGAGUCCUGUGAUUGCUAUUCCUCUCCGUUACACGGCCCCAUUCAUUAGCAUGGGUAGGUGAAGGCUGGCUGUAAUUUUAAACAACGGUUUGAGGCAUUUCUAUUCUGGUCCUGAAACAGCUUAAAUAUUUUAUGAGUUUUUAAGAUUGGGAGAAAUUAAAGCGAGUAUGUAAUCUUGCUCUGGUGUGUGUAUAAAUAUAUACACAUAUGAAAUUUAAAUAUACUCACACAAAAUCUCAUUGUAGAGAAUCUCAUAAAUCUAAAAAAGAUAGGGAGUCUAAAAAAAACCCUACCCAUAUGUAAACAUCAUAUGAAAAUAUAUGCAGUGUUAAUUUCAGAAUUUAUUGCAAUCUGCAGUAUAUCUUUAACAAUUGCACAUGCAUUCUCCCGAGAGCGAGAGGGAAUUUUUUAAAAAUGAAAUAUUUUGCAUAAAAUAUUUUGAUAUUUUAAAAAACCAAUAUAACUUUUAAAAAACCAUAAAAGAAAUGUCUAGCAGGAGUUCUAAAGGAACUGUGUUGUGGGGGGAAAAGUUUUCUUUUUUUUUUUUAGUUUUUAUCCUCUGAACAUGGGGCCAUGGCACUCUACAGUCAUAAUAGACUUUGGGGUCAUUAAGGGACUUUUAGCAAAUAAUCUAUCUAUUGUUCCACUGGGAAUGUAAAUAAAUGAGUAAUUUUUCCUCGUUAAUUAUAAUUCUUGUGAAUUACAAUGUCUAGGCCCCCCUCCAGGGCACCAAUCCACCCGUGAGUCAGAAGUUGCCACCCACACCGUGCGUACUGCAUUUGAUAAACUUUUUUUCCACGUAUAAUCAUUAUCUUCAAUUUCAGACCAUUUCAGAAAUAACUGACAA